Non-coding RNA from Chelonoidis abingdonii (Abingdon island giant tortoise), 154 nucleotides. The record is from RefSeq and is a predicted model, not a curated record. Lineage: Eukaryota; Metazoa; Chordata; Testudines; Testudinidae.
GUGAAUUCUUCUCUGGAAUGAUCUUCCUAGGGGGUUCGUCAUUAUUACAGUCUUCUCGCUCUGAAGAAUUCUGGCUUACAGGAAGUUUCACUUGUUCAAGCUGGAUUUUUGGUUGUCCCACAAUGGCAGCAAAUAGGAUUUUUCCUAGUUUGCA